CAAUUAUACCGCGAAACUGCGAAUGGCUCAUUAAAUCAGUUAUCGUUUAUUUGAUAUUACCUUACUACAUGGAUAACUGUGGUAAUUCUAGAGCUAAUACAUGCUAAAAAUCCCGACUUACGGAGGGAUGUAUUUAUUAGAUUAAAAACCAAUGCCCUUCGGGGCUUUCUGGUGAUUCAUGAUAACUUCGCGAAUCGCACGGCCUUGCGCCGGCGAUGGUUCAUUCAAAUUUCUGCCCUAUCAACUUUCGACUGCUGGGUCUUGGCCAGCAAUGGUGACAACGGGUAACGGAGGGUUAGGGCUCGACCCCGGAGAAGGAGCCUGAGAAACGGCUACUACAUCCAAGGAAGGCAGCAGGCGCGCAAAUUAUCCAAUCCCGACACGGGGAGAUAGUGACAAUAAAUACUGAUACAGGGCUCUUUUGGGUCUUGUAAUUGGAAUGAGUACAAUUUAAAUCCCUUAACGAGGAACAAUUGGAGGGCAAGUCUGGUGCCAGCAGCCGCGGUAAUUCCAGCUCCAAUAGCGUAUAUUAAAGUUGUUGCAGUUAAAAAGCUCGUAGUUGAACCUUGGGCCUGGCUGGCCGGUCCGCCUCACCGCGUGCACUGGUUCAGCUGGGCCUUUCCUCUGGCGAGCCCCAUGCCCUUCACUGGGCGUGUGGGGGAUCCAGGACUUUUACUUUGAAAAAAUUAGAGUGUUCAAAGCAGGCUUAUGCUCGAAUACAUUAGCAUGGAAUAAUAAAAUAGGACGCUGCGGUUUUAUUUUGUUGGUUUCUAAGACCGCCGUAAUGAUUAAUAGGGACAGUCGGGGGCAUCAGUAUUCAAUUGUCAGAGGUGAAAUUCUUGGAUUUAUUGAAGACUAACUACUGCGAAAGCAUUUGCCAAGGAUGUUUUCAUUAAUCAGGAACGAAAGUUAGGGGAUCGAAGACGAUUAUUCUGGUCGUCGAUAGUGCCUACCUACGGCGCUAGUCCGCUGUGUCACAGCGGGCGACACCGUCAAAUUGCGGGGACACCCUAAAGGCCUGUGCUACACCUGUGUGCCAGAAAUAGCGCAUAGUCGUAAUAAUGCCAGGUAUGAUGGGAGCACACCAGUGCUCCUGAAAUGGGUAAUCCGCAGCCAAGUCCUUCAGGGCCUCGGUGCCCAUGGAUGCAGUUCACAGACUAGACGGCGGUGGGAGUUAGCUCUUGGGGAGUUAAGCUCUUAAGAUAUAGUCGAGCCGGUGCUGAGAAGCGCUGAAUUUAAAUGCAGAUACCGUCGUAGUCUUAACCAUAAACUAUGCCGACUAGGGAUCGGACGGUGUUAUUUUUUGACCCGUUCGGCACCUUACACGAAAGUAAA
This 1335-nucleotide ribosomal RNA is filed under the name Distoseptispora sp. RNAcentral's name for it is "SSU rRNA". It matches the Rfam family "Eukaryotic small subunit ribosomal RNA", at positions 71 to 1102 of the family's 1831-position model. Lineage: Eukaryota; Fungi; Ascomycota; Sordariomycetes; Distoseptisporaceae. The record is from RNAcentral.